Molecule: ribosomal RNA, 460 nt
Filed under: uncultured bacterium
Lineage: Bacteria
Description: partial 16S ribosomal RNA
Rfam family: Bacterial small subunit ribosomal RNA
Source: RNAcentral
CCUACGGGGGGCAGCAGUGAGGAAUAUUGGUCAAUGGACGAGAGUCUGAACCAGCCAAGUAGCGUGAAGGAUGACUGCCCUAUGGGUUGUAAACUUCUUUUGUAUGGGAGUAAAAUGUUCCACGUGUGGGGUUCUGUAUGUACCAUAUGAAUAAGGAUCGGCUAACUCCGUGCCAGCAGCCGCGGUAAUACGGAGGAUCCGAGCGUUAUCCGGAUUUAUUGGGUUUAAAGGGUGCGUAGGUGGAUUGUUAAGUCAGUUGUGAAAGUUUGGGGCUCAACCCUAAAAUUGCCGUUGAAACUGGUAGUCUUGAGUACAGGAGAGGUGGGCGGAAUGCGUGGUGUAGCGGUGAAAUGCUUAGAUAUCACGAAGAACUCCGAUUGCGAAGGCAGUUCACCGGACUGCAACUGACACUGAGGCACGAAAGUGUGGGUAUCAAACAGGAUUAGAUACCCUUGUAGUC